UGAUUCAAGCUCCAUUGCAAUAUCUAGA
Molecule: small RNA, 28 nt
Filed under: Bombyx mori (domestic silkworm)
Lineage: Eukaryota; Metazoa; Arthropoda; Insecta; Lepidoptera; Bombycidae
Description: ovarian small RNA-33040
Source: RNAcentral